GCGAGUAUGGCCCUCACGGGUCUAAUCCACCAUAAACACCUUUGUGAACCAGUCAGGGGGACUCGACCGUGAAAGCCCAGGCGAUUAGCGGAAGGGCCCUCCUUUGCAAACCCGUUUAGAAGUCUUGAAAGUACUUUUGUAUAAUCUAGUA
Molecule: unclassified non-coding RNA, 151 nt
Filed under: soil metagenome
Description: partial internal transcribed spacer 1
Source: RNAcentral